Molecule: long non-coding RNA, 219 nt
Filed under: Lathyrus oleraceus (garden pea)
Lineage: Eukaryota; Viridiplantae; Streptophyta; Magnoliopsida; Fabales; Fabaceae
Description: Pisum sativum (pea) long non-coding RNA (PSAT_LNC031868)
Source: RNAcentral
UGGGCCUCGCCUAGCGAGCAUGACAGCUCAUGAACAAACUUUUGCUCCUUCAAGAUUAACGUUUUGACUGAUGAAUAGACCCCAUUUGAACAUGUUGGAAGUAUCUCAAGCCAUUCCCUUGUGUUGACUGAUCACCCAAAUAGGACCCACAAAGUGUCUUGGAUGAUAUUCAAGCUUCUUGGAUCUAAUUCCGAUUGACAUGAUGAAAUGCAAUAUGAA